CCUACGGGAGGCAGCAGUGGGGAAUAUUGCGCAAUGGGGGCAACCCUGACGCAGCAACGCCGCGUGAUUGAAGAAGGCCUUCGGGUUGUAAAGAUCUUUAAUCGGGGACGAAUUUUGACGGUACCCGAAGAAUAAGCUCCGGCUAACUACGUGCCAGCAGCCGCGGUAAUACGUAGGGAGCAAGCGUUAUCCGGAUUUACUGGGUGUAAAGGGCGUGUAGGCGGGGAAGCAAGUCAGAUGUGAAAUUCCAGGGCUCAACCCUGGAACUGCAUUUGAAACUGUUUUUCUUGAGUGAUGGAGAGGCAGGCGGAAUUCCGUGUGUAGCGGUGAAAUGCGUAGAUAUACGGAGGAACACCAGUGGCGAAGGCGGCCUGCUGGACAUUAACUGACGCUGAGGCGCGAAAGCGUGGGGAGCAAACAGGAUUAGAUACCCUAGUAGUC
This 441-nucleotide ribosomal RNA is filed under the name uncultured bacterium. RNAcentral describes it as "partial 16S ribosomal RNA". It matches the Rfam family "Bacterial small subunit ribosomal RNA", at positions 338 to 795 of the family's 1533-position model. The record is from RNAcentral.